Long non-coding RNA from Platichthys flesus (European flounder), 1844 nucleotides. RefSeq lists it as uncharacterized. The record is from RefSeq and is a predicted model, not a curated record. The transcript is spliced from 2 exons. NCBI's taxonomy places the organism in Eukaryota, Metazoa, Chordata, Actinopteri, Pleuronectiformes, Pleuronectidae.
CGGAAGCAGCUGCAGCGGCUCAGGGAGACGGGGCGACUUCAGUCCGUCACUGAAACAUUAUAGCUGCUUCAGAUGGGAAAGUUCGGAGCUCGUUUUUCGGGUGUAGGGGAGUCCGUGCGGACCGUGUGAGGAGAAGCUAAUGCUUCUGAUCUGCAGCUCAUCCACCCCCCGUCUGCUUCACCAUGCCACUGGUCUUGGAUGCCGUGUGGGCGCUGUGGAGCAUUGGAGCUGGUAUCUAUGACUACUUCCAUACCAGCGCAAUGGAGGAGAGGAUCCACACGCUGGAGAACCUCCUCUCUAUCCACCAGUGUGUGAUCACAGCCCUGUCUGCAGGCUUCAUCCUGCUCAUGAUGUACAUACUGUGGAGAAAACACUAAAACCUCACCGACCUGGGCAACUGCUGCUACUAAAUGUUGUUAUGCCGCAGGACAUCUUUUUUUACCUAGGCUUAUUUCCUUCCAGGUGUUGGCACAGGGACAUUCUGAUUCAUACAGCUGUUCACACUUGAGGAUGACACGUGUUCAAUGAAGGUGUCCAAGGUGAGGUCAGGAGCACUGAAGAGCAACUAAACCGAGGACUAUGGCUCCAUAAGUACAUCUUGCCCCUGAAAACUUGUUGUUAGUUGAGCUGCGUCUGUCUGUGUAUUUUUUUAUGUUACACUUGCCUGAGUCAUCUACAAACCAGUAUCCACAUUAACACGAAAUCACACCUGCUUCUCAAGGCAACUUUAGCACUUUGACUUUUUUUUGCCGAGCUUGAGAGAAUUCAAUGUCCAGAGAUUUUACAACCUUUGAUUUGUUACAGAAGCAAAGUGCCACUAGAGUUGCCACUAAGUUUUCUAGCCCUGUUAUCACAAUGUGGUUACUUUGUUUUCAAAGAUCAGCCAUGAUGGCUUUUUUUUUUUUUACAUAUCAGCUCUUUUUUUUGUCUGAGUUUAUGAUAUUAUUUCACCAUCUUCAAGUCGUCAUUACAACUUUAUUAUUUCGGUCCAGUCUCCUCUGUUAUCUCUGCUAUGUUCUCUCCUCAGAUCUCAAAAAGUUGAGACGAAUAAUAACAAUGAAAUCCACUUUGGAUGGACCUUAAAGUGGCUAAGUCUGUUCUCUGGAGCUAUUGAUGCAUUUAAGUUCACUGAGCAGUGUCUAAAGAAAAUAACCUUUCAGUUGAAUAUGUAUAGCUGCUUUCAGACAUAUACUGAAGAGAUUCAAGAGAUUGUGAUGAUAUAAGGGCUGACACGAGUUCCUGUUCUUUCCACAGUAGGAAUUAUAUAUUUUUUCAUAUUUGAAAGAUAAACUCCAGAAAAUGUCCCAACCAAAGUUUCUGGACAUUCUCCAGAGUUUGUGUCUGAUAAAAGCUUAUGUCCGGCAGGUGGUAGGCAGAACAAGGAGAAUAUGUCGCGGCUGUUAAACUCUGGGUGUUUUACGGUUUUAACUACAGUAGAAUAAGAGAAGAUAAACACUAAAUUCCAACACUGGGAAAUGAAUUAAUCUGUUGUGGUUCUUUUUCUUAUAUGGGUUUUGGAACUGCAGCUUGUGUGUGUGUGUUUGCGUUCACAUUUUUAUCAACCAUAUUUCCAGGAUAUGUCAUUCAGGAAUCCUUUUGUUUUUCACACUCUUAAAAAAUGUGAUCAGAUGAUCUAAUCAGAUGUAUUGAUUCCUUUCUAACUCUCUGUACUGCAUCUACUACUGGACAGACCUCGGCCAUGGCUUCUACUAAUGGGAAUAUUUUUGGAUAAUAAGCCAGAACUUUGCUUUUGCCCACUUGUUUGUUUUAAAUUACAUUUUUCUUUCCUGUCAUUUUAACUGAGUCGUUUUUAAAUGGAAUAAAUUAAAUUAUGUUAAAUAAUG